Long non-coding RNA from Pezoporus flaviventris, 658 nucleotides. RefSeq lists it as uncharacterized. NCBI's taxonomy places the organism in Eukaryota, Metazoa, Chordata, Aves, Psittaciformes, Psittacidae. The transcript is spliced from 2 exons. The record is from RefSeq and is a predicted model, not a curated record.
AAAGGAGAUGAGCGAGGCCCUGAGCUCUACUCAAAGUUGAUUGCUCUGUUGAUUGCGAAGAGGUAUCUAUAGAUCAGGAUCUUGAACAGAGACUGGUGUACCAGCUGAAGCUGUACAAACUAAAUCGUAUAUUCCCCAACUACAGAUAAAACAAACGGCCAAUUUUAGCCUAAUCAUCACUUCUGCCAAAGGAAAGAGAAACUCUUUGAGGAAAAAGGCUACACUUCAUGUUACAUGACACAAGAAAAUUCAGGAUACUAAGUUAAAAAAGAGCUCAAUACAUCAAGUAGCUUCAGAAAGAUGCUAAUAUUCAGUGUGUCCCUGCUUGGACUGUGAAGAUACUAACUCCUGGAGGGACAAUGCUGCUGGAGACUGCUUCCGAGAGGCAUCCAGAUUUGGUUUUGAGGGCUUCAGAGAAGUGUUCACAUAAUUCUACUUCCUGUUGUUAGUGGAUUGUUUUUUAUACCUUGGAAAAGUCUUGGAAUUAAUGUGUGCACAUGAAGUCUACAUCUUGCUCAGGGAUCUCUAAUACACAGUAUUUUUUGCCUUCUACAUUUUCCACAAGGUCAAAUACUAAUCGUAUAUAUACACUUAAUUAUUUCCUGAUUUCUGCUAAUAUCCUUUAAUAUCUGCAAUAAAGAUUCCCACAAGUAAUCUA